Molecule: ribosomal RNA, 346 nt
Filed under: uncultured bacterium
Lineage: Bacteria
Description: bacterial SSU rRNA
Rfam family: Bacterial small subunit ribosomal RNA
Source: RNAcentral
AGAGUUUGAUUAUGGCUCAGGAUGAACGCUGGCGGCGUGCCUAACACAUGCAAGUCGAACGAAGCACAUACGACGGAACUCUUCGGAGGGAAGAUGUAUGUGACUGAGUGGCGGACGGGUGAGUAACGCGUGGGUAACCUGCCCUAUACAGGGGGACAACAGUUGGAAACGACUGCUAAUACCGCAUAAGCGCACAGUACCGCAUGGUACAGAGCGAAAAACUCCGGUGGUAUAGGAUGGGCCCGCGUCUGAUUAGUUAGUUGGCGGUGUAACGGACCACCAAGACGACGAUCAGUAGCCGGCUUGAGAGAGUGAACGGCCACAUUGGGACUGAGACACGGCCCAA